AGCGGAANCAACUAAAAACAAUUGGACCUACCUCCAAAGAAAUGGAGGGAAANUAAAAGAAUUGGNGGGAAACUCAAAGGAAUGGACGGAAACUCAAAUGAAUUGACGGAAACUCAAAGGAAUUGACGGAAACUCAAAGGAAUUGACGGAAACUCAAAGGAAUUGACGGAAACUCAAAGGCAUUGACGGAAACUCAGAGGAAUUGACGGAAACUCAAAGGAAUUGACGGAAACUCAAAAGAAUUG
Molecule: ribosomal RNA, 245 nt
Filed under: uncultured bacterium
Lineage: Bacteria
Description: partial 16S ribosomal RNA
Source: RNAcentral